ACGAGUUAGGGUCUCCUAGGCCCGAUCUCCCAACCCUUUGUUUAUUAAACCUUGUGUUGCUUCGGCGGGUCCGCCCUCCCAGGGCCGCCGGAGGAAGGUCGUGAGACGCUCCUCUGGCCCGCGCCCGCCGACGGCCAAACCUCAAAAAUUCUUGAACGAAUCGUGUUUUGAUGUCUGAGUCUUUGAUUAAAUCAAAAUAA
Molecule: unclassified non-coding RNA, 200 nt
Filed under: uncultured fungus
Lineage: Eukaryota; Fungi
Description: sequence contains ITS1, 5.8S rRNA gene
Source: RNAcentral